CCUACGGGGCGCAGCAGUGGGGAAUAUUGGACAAUGGGCGAAAGCCUGAUCCAGCCAUGCCGCGUGUGUGAAGAAGGCCUUCGGGUUGUAAAGCACUUUCAGUGGGGAAGAAAGCCUUGGGGCUAAUACCCUCGAGGAAGGACAUCACCCACAGAAGAAGCACCGGCUAACUCCAUGCCAGCAGCCGCGGUAAUACGGAGGGUGCGAGCGUUAAUCGGAAUUACUGGGCGUAAAGCGCGCGUAGGCGGUCUGAUAAGCCGGUUGUGAAAGCCCCGGGCUCAACCUGGGAACGGCAUCCGGAACUGUCAGGCUAGAGUGCAGGAGAGGAAGGUAGAAUUCCCGGUGUAGCGGUGAAAUGCGUAGAGAUCGGGAGGAAUACCAGUGGCGAAGGCGGCCUUCUGGACUGACACUGACGCUGAGGUGCGAAAGCGUGGGUAGCAAACAGGAUUAGAUACCCGAGUAGUC
This 465-nucleotide ribosomal RNA is filed under the name Vreelandella stevensii. RNAcentral's name for it is "partial 16S ribosomal RNA". It matches the Rfam family "Bacterial small subunit ribosomal RNA", at positions 338 to 795 of the family's 1533-position model. Lineage: Bacteria; Pseudomonadati; Pseudomonadota; Gammaproteobacteria; Oceanospirillales; Halomonadaceae. The record is from RNAcentral.